Long non-coding RNA from Gopherus evgoodei (Goodes thornscrub tortoise), 169 nucleotides. RefSeq lists it as uncharacterized. The transcript is spliced from 3 exons. The record is from RefSeq and is a predicted model, not a curated record. NCBI's taxonomy places the organism in Eukaryota, Metazoa, Chordata, Testudines, Testudinidae.
CGGCCCGGCCCCUGCCCCGGGGGGCCCCGCUCGGAGGGAAGGUUGAGGAAUCACGUCCCUGUUUGGCUCCAGAUGGUCCCGUCUUCCAGGAGACAGGGAAGGGAAAUGGCUGUGAUGGAGCCAGUUCAGAUGCCGGUGACCUUUGAGGAGGUGGCUGUGUAUUUCACCC